RNAcentral lists this unclassified non-coding RNA (662 nucleotides) under Hevea brasiliensis (rubber tree). Lineage: Eukaryota; Viridiplantae; Streptophyta; Magnoliopsida; Malpighiales; Euphorbiaceae. The record is from RNAcentral.
GUCAAGGUUACCUGGUGAGUGCUGGUCCUACUAUGUCGAGCGCUAUUUCCCCACUGCACCAAAAACUCGUCAACUCAUUGAUUCCUGAAACUGAUUCCGUGGUAGAGAAGGGUGCAAGAGAGACUCUGCGACUACUCAUUAGUAGUUCAACCCAAGGUAACCCUCAGUUGAUGGAUGUCUUCCCUGUAGCAUUGACCAAUGCUGAUGAGAAAAAAGGCAUACAUGUGACUGGAAGCCGUGGACUCUAUGGUGGCUCCAGCGAUGUAGAAGCUAUUGCGAAUAGCAUGGCCACUAUUAGCUUGGUUUCUUUGUCUGAGGGCAUUGUAAGACAUGGUGAUGCAAACGUAGUGGGCAGUUGUGACGAUUUUGACAGUGUGUUGGGAGGUAGACCUAGUGAUCUGGAUGGGCCAUGUUCCGAUGAUGAUAAAACUCGGGAUCCGAUUACAAAAGAAGGGAACAGUUGAUGCGGUACCUAUUUUGGGUUUUCGUUUGGCUUCGUAGAUCCUUUUAUGUUUCUAAAAAGAAAAUUGUAGAUAUGUAGCUGCAGCCUUGGCUUUUUGAAAUGUAAUUAGUGCAAAUUUUGCCAUUUGUUGGGCAUUUGUUAAUGUUUAUUCCUUCAUUUUUCCAGUUCUUGAUAGUAUGAACCUAGUUAUAUGUUUUUU